GCCUGCCCUCCUACAUUCUUUGAAAUUGAAAUGACUCUGUCCCAUGUACAGAGCAUCUACGAAGGCUAUGGAAAGUGAUCACGUCACAAGCAGGUUGCUGACGGGGGCUAGGGGAGCAGCUGAAGAAGCCUUACAGAAAAAGCUACCACUACGAUUUCUUUCUGAGCCAACCAUGUGCCUCAGACUUCUCUGCUGUGUGGCCCUUUCUUUCUGGGGAGCAGGCUCCACGGACACCAAGGUCACCCAGAGACCUAGACUUCUGGUCAAAGCAAGUGAACAGAAAGCAAAGAUGGAUUGUGUUCCUAUAAAAGGACAUAGUUAUGUUUACUGGUAUCGUAAGAAGCUGGAAGAAGAGCUCAAGUUUUUGAUUUACUUUCAGAAUGAAGAACUUAUUCAGAAAGCAGAAAUAAUCAAUGAGCGAUUUUUAGCCCAAUGCCCCAAAAACUCAUCCUGUACCUUGGAGAUCCAGUCCACGGAGUCAGGGGACACAGCACUGUAUUUCUGUGCCAGCAGCAAAGCCACAGUGCCGAAUGUUAGCCCUUCUUAGAACACAAACUCAUUAUGGACCCAGCUCAGGAAAUAAGUGUGUAGCAGGUUGGUAGGCACUACAUAACAGAAACCCA
Pan troglodytes (chimpanzee) is the source of this 623-nucleotide non-coding RNA. The record is from the annotation of a RefSeq genome assembly. Lineage: Eukaryota; Metazoa; Chordata; Mammalia; Primates; Hominidae.